GGCGAUGAAGGACGUGCUAAUCUGCGAAAAGCGUCGGUAAGGUGAUAUGAACCGUUAUAACCGGCGAUGUCCGAAUGGGGAAACCCAGUGCAAUUCGUUGCACUAUCGUUAACUGAAUACAUAGGUUAACGAGGCGAACCGGGGGAACUGAAACAUCUAAGUACCCCGAGGAAAAGAAAUCAACCGAGAUUCCCCCAGUAGCGGCGAGCGAACGGGGAGCAGCCCAGAGUCUGAAUCAGCUUGUGUGUUAGUGGAACGGUCUGGAAAGUCCGACGGUACAGGGUGAUAGUCCCGUACACCAAAAUGCACAGGCUGUGAACUCGAAGAGUAGGGCGGGACACGUGGUAUCCUGUCUGAAUAUGGGGGGACCAUCCUCCAAGGCUAAAUACUCCUGACUGACCGAUAGUGAACCAGUACCGUGAGGGAAAGGCGAAAAGAACCCCGGCGAGGGGAGUGAAAAAGAACCUGAAACCGUGUACGUACAAGCAGUGGGAGCACCUUCGGGUGUGACUGCGUACCUUUUGUAUAAUGGGUCAGCGACUUAUAUUCUGUAGCAAGGUUAACCGUAUAGGGGAGCCGCAGGGAAACCGAGUCUUAACUGGGCGUUAAGUUGCAGGGUAUAGACCCGAAACCCGGUGAUCUAGCCAUGGGCAGGUUGAAGGUUGGGUAACACUAACUGGAGGACCGAACCGACUAAUGUUGAAAAAUUAGCGGAUGACUUGUGGCUGGGGGUGAAAGGCCAAUCAAACCGGGAGAUAGCUGGUUCUCCCCGAAAGCUAUUUAGGUAGCGCCUCGUGAACUCAUCUUCGGGGGUAGAGCACUGUUUCGGCUAGGGGGUCAUCCCGACUUACCAACCCGAUGCAAACUACGAAUACCGAAGAAUGUUAUCACGGGAGACACACGGCGGGUGCUAACGUCCGUCGUGAAGAGGGAAACAACCCAGACCGCCAGCUAAGGUCCCAAAGUCAUGGUUAAGUGGGAAACGAUGUGGGAAGGCACAGACAGCCAGGAUGUUGGCUUAGAAGCAGCCAUCAUUUAAAGAAAGCGUAAUAGCUCACUGGUCGAGUCGGCCUGCGCGGAAGAUGUAACGGGGCUAAACCAUGCACCGAAGCUGCGGCAGCGACACUAUGUGUUGUUGGGUAGGGGAGCGUUCUGUAAGCCUGCGAAGGUGACCUGUGAGGGUUGCUGGAGGUAUCAGAAGUGCGAAUGCUGACAUAAGUAACGAUAAAGCGGGUGAAAAGCCCGCUCGCCGGAAGACCAAGGGUUCCUGUCCAACGUUAAUCGGGGCAGGGUGAGUCGACCCCUAAGGCGAGGCCGAAAGGCGUAGUCGAUGGGAAACAGGUUAAUAUUCCUGUACUUGGUGUUACUGCGAAGGGGGGACGGAGAAGGCUAUGUUAGCCGGGCGACGGUUGUCCCGGUUUAAGCAUGUAGGCUGGUUGUCCAGGCAAAUCCGGAUAAUCAAGGCUGAGGUGUGAUGACGAGGCACUACGGUGCUGAAGUAACAAAUGCCCUGCUUCCAGGAAAAGCCUCUAAGCAUCAGGUAACAUCAAAUCGUACCCCAAACCGACACAGGUGGUCAGGUAGAGAAUACCAAGGCGCUUGAGAGAACUCGGGUGAAGGAACUAGGCAAAAUGGUGCCGUAACUUCGGGAGAAGGCACGCUGGUGUGUAGGUGAAGCCCCUGCGGGUGGAGCUGAGACCAGUCGAAGAUACCAGCUGGCUGCAACUGUUUAUUAAAAACACAGCACUGUGCAAACACGAAAGUGGACGUAUACGGUGUGACGCCUGCCCGGUGCCGGAAGGUUAAUUGAUGGGGUUAUCCGUAAGGAGAAGCUCUUGAUCGAAGCCCCGGUAAACGGCGGCCGUAACUAUAACGGUCCUAAGGUAGCGAAAUUCCUUGUCGGGUAAGUUCCGACCUGCACGAAUGGCGUAAUGAUGGCCAGGCUGUCUCCACCCGAGACUCAGUGAAAUUGAACUCGCUGUGAAGAUGCAGUGUACCCGCGGCAAGACGGAAAGACCCCGUGAACCUUUACUAUAGCUUGACACUGAACAUUGAGCCUUGAUGUGUAGGAUAGGUGGGAGGCUUUGAAGCGUGGACGCCAGUCUGCGUGGAGCCAACCUUGAAAUACCACCCUUUAAUGUUUGAUGUUCUAACGUUGGCCCCUUACCGGGGUUGCGGACAGUGUCUGGUGGGUAGUUUGACUGGGGCGGUCUCCUCCCAAAGCGUAACGGAGGAGCACGAAGGUUAGCUAAUCCUGGUCGGACAUCAGGAGGUUAGUGCAAUGGCAUAAGCUAGCUUGACUGCGAGCGUGACGGCGCGAGCAGGUGCGAAAGCAGGUCAUAGUGAUCCGGUGGUUCUGAAUGGAAGGGCCAUCGCUCAACGGAUAAAAGGUACUCCGGGGAUAACAGGCUGAUACCGCCCAAGAGUUCAUAUCGACGGCGGUGUUUGGCACCUCGAUGUCGGCUCAUCACAUCCUGGGGCUGAAGUAGGUCCCAAGGGUAUGGCUGUUCGCCAUUUAAAGUGGUACGCGAGCUGGGUUUAGAACGUCGUGAGACAGUUCGGUCCCUAUCUGCCGUGGGCGCUGGAGAAUUGAGGGGGGCUGCUCCUAGUACGAGAGGACCGGAGUGGACGCAUCACUGGUGUUCGGGUUGUCAUGCCAAUGGCACUGCCCGGUAGCUAAAUGCGGAAGAGAUAAGUGCUGAAAGCAUCUAAGCACGAAACUUGCCCCGAGAUGAGUUCUCCCUGAGACUUUAAGUCUCCUGAAGGAACGUUAAAGACGAUGACGUUGAUAGGCCGGGUGUGUAAGCGCAGCGAUGCGUUGAGCUAACCGGUACUAAUGAACCGUGAGGCUUAACCUU
Molecule: ribosomal RNA, 2858 nt
Filed under: Klebsiella pneumoniae
Lineage: Bacteria; Pseudomonadati; Pseudomonadota; Gammaproteobacteria; Enterobacterales; Enterobacteriaceae
Description: partial 23S ribosomal RNA
Rfam family: Bacterial large subunit ribosomal RNA
Source: RNAcentral